GGAAUUGACGGGGCCGCACAAGCGGUGGAGCAUGUGGUUUAAUUCGAUGAUACGCGAGGAACCUUACCUGGGCUCAAAUGUAUGUUGACGUAUUCUGAAAGGGAUACUUCUUCGGACAAUAUACAAGGUGCUGCAUGGUUGUCGUCAGCUCGUGCCGUGAGGUGUCGGGUUAAGUCCCAUAACGAGCGCAACCCCUAUCAUUAGUUGCCAUCAGGUCAAGCUGGGGACUCUAAUGAAACUGCCUACGCAAGUAGUGAGGAAGGUGGGGAUGACGUCAAAUCAGCACGGCCCUUACGUCCAGGGCUACACACGUGCUACAAUGGCCGGCACAACGGGAAGCGAGUUCGCGAGGACGAGCGGAUCCCUCAAAGCCGGUCGCAGUUCGGAUUGAAGUCUGCAACUCGACUUCAUGAAGCUGGAAUCGCUAGUAAUCGUGGAUCAGCCAAGCCGCGGUGAAUACGUUCCCGGGCCUU
Molecule: ribosomal RNA, 473 nt
Filed under: uncultured Bacteroidota bacterium
Lineage: Bacteria; Pseudomonadati; Bacteroidota
Description: bacterial SSU rRNA
Rfam family: Bacterial small subunit ribosomal RNA
Source: RNAcentral